This 492-nucleotide ribosomal RNA is filed under the name uncultured bacterium. Its description in RNAcentral is "partial 16S ribosomal RNA". It matches the Rfam family "Bacterial small subunit ribosomal RNA", at positions 29 to 507 of the family's 1533-position model. The record is from RNAcentral.
AGUGAACGCUGGCGGUGGGCCUAACACAUGCAAGUCGAACGGCAGCACAGUAAGAGCUUGCUCUUACGGGUGGCGAGUGGCGGACGGGUGAGGAAUACAUCGGAAUCUACUUUUUCGUGGGGGAUAACGUAGGGAAACUUACGCUAAUACCGCAUACGACCUACGGGUGAAAGCAGGGGAUCUUCGGACCUUGCGCGAUUGAAUGAGCCGAUGUCGGAUUAGCUAGUUGGCGGGGUAAAGGCCCACCAAGGCGACGAUCCGUAGCUGGUCUGAGAGGAUGAUCAGCCACACUGGAAGUGAGACACGGUCCAGACUCCUACGGGAGGAAGCAGUGGGGAAUAUUGGACAAGGGGCGCAAGCCUGAUCCAGCCAUACCGCGUGGGUGAAGAAGGACUUCGGGUUGUAAAGCCCUUUUGUUGGGAAAGAAAAGCAGCAGGUUAAUACCCCGCUGUUCUGACGGUACCCAAAGAAUAAGCACCGGCUAACUUCGUG